CCUCGGGUGGCAGCAGUGGGGAAUAUUGCACACCGGGGGAAACCCUGAUGCAGCGACGCCGCGUGAGUGAAGAAGUAUCUCGGUACGAAAAGCUCUAUCAGCAGGGAAGAAAAUGACGGUACCUGACUAAGAAGCCCCGGCUAACUACGUGCCAGCAGCCGCGGUAAUACGUAGGGGGCAAGCUUUAUCCGGAUUUACUGGGUGUAAAGGGAGCGUAGACGGCAGCGCAAGUCUGGAGUGAAAUGCCGGGGCCCAACCCCGGAACUGCUUUGGAAACUGUGCAGCUCGAGUGCAGGAGAGGUAAGCGGAAUUCCUAGUGUAGCGGUGAAAUGCGUAGAUAUUAGGAGGAACACCAGUGGCGAAGGCGGCUUACUGGACUGUAACUGACGUUGAUGCUCGAAAGUGUGGGUAUCAAACAGGAUUAGAUACCCCAGUAGUC
Molecule: ribosomal RNA, 439 nt
Filed under: uncultured bacterium
Lineage: Bacteria
Description: partial 16S ribosomal RNA
Rfam family: Bacterial small subunit ribosomal RNA
Source: RNAcentral